RNAcentral lists this ribosomal RNA (494 nucleotides) under uncultured bacterium. Its description in RNAcentral is "partial 16S ribosomal RNA". It matches the Rfam family "Bacterial small subunit ribosomal RNA", at positions 28 to 507 of the family's 1533-position model. The record is from RNAcentral.
GACGAACGCUGGCGGCGUGCUUAACACAUGCAAGUCGAACGGAAAGGCCUGCUUUCCCUUGUGGAUUGCGGGUACUCGAGUGGCGAACGGGUGAGUAACACGUGAGUGAUCUGCCCCCAACUUGGGUAUAAGCCUGGGAAACUGGGUCUAAUUCCCGAUAGUACUGCAGGGUGGUGCCUGUGGUGGAAAACGAUUUUCUAGUGGUUGGGGAUGAGCUCGCGGCCUAUCAGCUUGUUGGUGGGGUAAUGGGCUACCAAGGCGGCGACGGGUAGCCGGCCUGAGAGGGGGGACGGCCACAUUGGGACUGAGAUACGGCCCAGACUCCUACGGGAGGCAGCAGUGGGGAAGAUUGCACAGUGGGCGGAAGCCUGAUGCAGCGACGCCGCGUGGGGGAUGACGGGCUUCGGGUUGUAAACUCCUUUCGACCGCGAGGAAGCCACCUGGAUGGAAGGGUGGUGACGGUAGUGGUAGAAGAAGCACCGGCUAACUACGUG